Molecule: ribosomal RNA, 273 nt
Filed under: Nocardiopsis dassonvillei
Lineage: Bacteria; Bacillati; Actinomycetota; Actinomycetes; Streptosporangiales; Nocardiopsidaceae
Description: partial 16S ribosomal RNA
Rfam family: Bacterial small subunit ribosomal RNA
Source: RNAcentral
CUUAUGUCUUGGGCUGCCACAUGCUACAAUGGCCGGUACAAUGGGCGUGCGAUACCGUAAGGUGGAGCGAAUCCCUUAAAGCCGGUCUCAUUUCAGAUUGGGGUCUGCAACUCGACCCCAUGAAGGUGGAGUCGCUAGUAAUCGCGGAUCAGCAACGCCGCGGUGAAUACCUUCCCGGGCCUUGUACACACCGCCCGUCACGUCAUGAAAGUCGGCAACACCCGAAACUUGUGGCCUAACCCUUCGGGGAGGGAAUGAGUGAAGGUGGGGCUG